UACGGGGGGAGCAAGCGUUGUUCGGAUUUACUGGGCGUAAAGGGCGCGUAGGCGGCGUGACAAGUCACUUGUGAAAUCUCCGGGCUUAACUCGGAACGGUCAAGUGAUACUGUCGGACUAGAGUACAGAAGGGGCAACUGGAAUUCUCGGUGUAGCGGUGAAAUGCGUAGAUAUCGAGAGGAACACCUGCGGCGAAGGCGGGUUGCUGGGCUGACACUGACGCUGAGGCGCGAAGCCAGGGAGCAAACAGG
This 251-nucleotide ribosomal RNA is filed under the name uncultured bacterium. RNAcentral's name for it is "partial 16S ribosomal RNA". It matches the Rfam family "Bacterial small subunit ribosomal RNA", at positions 524 to 776 of the family's 1533-position model. The record is from RNAcentral.